Long non-coding RNA from Styela clava, 401 nucleotides. RefSeq lists it as uncharacterized. Lineage: Eukaryota; Metazoa; Chordata; Ascidiacea; Stolidobranchia; Styelidae. The record is from RefSeq and is a predicted model, not a curated record.
CGGGAAGCCACAAGCGACAUCGCAGUCACAAAUGUUCGUGGUAGGAUGAAGUUUGAUUUUGUGUAGGAUGUAUGGAUAGGCUGACUGUUGGGUUAUGACAGCGAGUUCGAAACAAUAUUCAGUUGCAGACAAAGUAACGAACAAGGAAUAAUACAACUUUUUAAAACACUGCUUGAACGUCGACAGAACAAUUUAUCAUUGUACCAAAAGAAAUUCGUCAAGUGCCAGCUUUUCAUCACAGAGUGAGAUGGAAGCCUAUCAAGUCUGAAGAGCAAGUUGUUUGAAUAUUAAUCCGGAUUGAAGAUUGAAGAUGGCAAAAACUAGCUACGCUAAAAGGUUAUUUGGUAUGCUUUUUCCGUGACAUGCUGACAUGUGUGAUUAUUCAAAUUCAAAUAUUCAAA